Molecule: unclassified non-coding RNA, 310 nt
Filed under: Hevea brasiliensis (rubber tree)
Lineage: Eukaryota; Viridiplantae; Streptophyta; Magnoliopsida; Malpighiales; Euphorbiaceae
Source: RNAcentral
UUCGGGGUAAUUAGGGGAUAAACGAACUGGAGGAGCGUCUCUUUGUAAUGUCCCAAAUGUGUUGAAAGCUAAUGCAGCAAUUGUGUUAACUUGUUCCUGCAGUUGGGAAAUUAUGUCCAUCUUCAACCUUAUCCCUAAGAAGAAAUGUCCGGAAGAUGAUUCAGCGAACAAUACCCAAUCACUGCAGUUAAAUCAGCAAACAACUUCCAGAAACUGACUGAUUAGGAGUAAGAUCCGCCGUUAACCUCCAAGGACUGUCAUCGCGGGUUCGUGAUCGUCGCGCUGCUGCCGGAGACAAGGGAGGGCCUAG